CUGUUGCUGUGAUGAAUCAUGAAUGAAUUCACAUGUCAGACUUCAGAUAUGCUUUACCUAUCAGGAAAAUGCGACUACUAAGAAUCAC
This 88-nucleotide small RNA is filed under the name Salix viminalis (osier). The record is from RNAcentral. Lineage: Eukaryota; Viridiplantae; Streptophyta; Magnoliopsida; Malpighiales; Salicaceae.